CCUACGGGGGGCUGCAGUGGGGAAUAUUGCGCAAUGGGCGAAAGCCUGACGCAGCGACGCCGCGUGAGGGAUGAAGGUCUUCGGAUCGUAAACCUCUGUCAGCAGGGAAGAACGGUCACUGUGCUAAUCAGCAGUGAAUUGACGGUACCUGCAAAGGAAGCCCCGGCUAACUACGUGCCAGCAGCCGCGGUAAUACGUAGGGGGCAAGCGUUAUCCGGAUUUACUGGGUGUAAAGGGAGCGUAGACGGCAAGGCAAGUCUGGAGUGAAAGCCCGUGGCCCAACCACGGGACUGCUUUGGAAACUGUGUGGCUGGAGUGCAGGAGGGGUAAGCGGAAUUCCUAGUGUAGCGGUGAAAUGCGUAGAUAUUAGGAGGAACACCGGUGGCGAAGGCGGCUUACUGGACUGUAACUGACGUUGAGGCUCGAAGGCGUGGGGAGCAAACAGGAUUAGAUACCCCUGUAGUC
RNAcentral lists this ribosomal RNA (465 nucleotides) under uncultured bacterium. Its description in RNAcentral is "partial 16S ribosomal RNA". It matches the Rfam family "Bacterial small subunit ribosomal RNA", at positions 338 to 795 of the family's 1533-position model. The record is from RNAcentral.